UAGGGUCUGUUCUGUGUCCUCC
This 22-nucleotide microRNA is filed under the name Mus musculus (house mouse). Its description in RNAcentral is "mmu-miR-9769-3p". Lineage: Eukaryota; Metazoa; Chordata; Mammalia; Rodentia; Muridae. The record is from miRBase by way of RNAcentral.